CCUACGGGAGGCAGCAGUGGGGAAUAUUGCACAAUGGGCGCAAGCCUGAUGCAGCCAUGCCGCGUGUGUGAAGAAGGCCUUCGGGUUGUAAAGCACUUUCAGCGGGGAGGAAGGCGUUAAGGUUAAUAACCUUGGCGAUUGACGUUACCCGCAGAAGAAGCACCGGCUAACUCCGUGCCAGCAGCCGCGGUAAUACGGAGGGUGCAAGCGUUAAUCGGAAUUACUGGGCGUAAAGCGCACGCAGGCGGUCUGUCAAGUCGGAUGUGAAAUCCCCGGGCUCAACCUGGGAACUGCAUUCGAAACUGGCAGGCUAGAGUCUUGUAGAGGGGGGUAGAAUUCCAGGUGUAGCGGUGAAAUGCGUAGAGAUCGGGAGGAAUACCGGUGGCGAAGGCGGCCCCCUGGACAAAGACUGACGCUCAGGUGCGAAAGCGUGGGGAGCAAACAGGAUUAGAUACCCGUGUAGUC
RNAcentral lists this ribosomal RNA (465 nucleotides) under uncultured Klebsiella sp. Its description in RNAcentral is "bacterial SSU rRNA". It matches the Rfam family "Bacterial small subunit ribosomal RNA", at positions 338 to 795 of the family's 1533-position model. The record is from RNAcentral. Lineage: Bacteria; Pseudomonadati; Pseudomonadota; Gammaproteobacteria; Enterobacterales; Enterobacteriaceae.